Molecule: unclassified non-coding RNA, 2762 nt
Filed under: Helicoverpa zea (corn earworm)
Lineage: Eukaryota; Metazoa; Arthropoda; Insecta; Lepidoptera; Noctuidae
Description: uncharacterized LOC124632960, transcript variant X3
Source: RNAcentral
GCUGUGUUGGAUUUUAUAAAUUGCAACAUUAACUUAAUUUUUAUUAUAUUUUUGUACUGUGGCAACUUUUCUCUCUCUUGCUCUGCGACACGGACCGAAUACACGUAUGUAAUUAUUUGCAAUCGCCGUUUUAUUUACUGAAAAGCUGAAUCUCCUGCAUCAGCGCACCAGCCCUAUCAACACACUACACCGCUGCACAUGGUCCUUCGAGGAAAGAAGCGCUGCUGGGAGACGAAACUCCAGGUUUGCAAACAAAUUUACGGCCGUGUCGCACGAGGCCAUUUUUUUUUGGUGAGCAUUGAGCAAGCAAACGGGCUCGCGAUUUCCUGUGAGACUGGUCGUCGCUACAAAAUCGCAAUACCUAUACGAUUCGACGGCCACAAUUACAAGAUCCACAGGAGGAAGCCCAGCAUCAGCAUCGAUCUAAAAUUCGAUUUCACCGUCGUCGCCGGAGUCACCUCUGCAGGUGCGAAGAGUACACUUGGCAGCAAGAUAGGGUGUUCCGCGAGAGCAAGCGAGACGGAGCACAUCGAAAUUCGAAAGAUUCGCAUUUCAUCGCACGCCCGCACGCAACAAUAGGAAUAGGACAAUCGUACGGGCGCGAAAGAGACAGCAAGUGACGCCGCAAAACUUCACAGCAGCAACAGGCGAGCUCGCGCAACCGCCAUUUUGUUGGGAAGAAUUGGAUCGCCGUCGCCGAUCAAUACUGUAUAAAAAAUAUUACAAUACUGUGUAAAAGUGUUUAAUAUAGCAGUGAAUCUUGUAAUACAUAGUUAAUAGUGUUCCUGUAAAGUUAUUAUUGAGUUAUUAACGUAAAGUACAGGUAAUAUUUGUUUUAAGAAUCGACAAGUUUAGCGAACAAUGGAAGACCUAAAGAAAAAAGUCGCCGCACGCGGUUAUGUGAAAGACAGUUACACUGCGAAGGCCUACCAACUUGACCGGGAUAUGAAUGCUAAGCCGCAAUUGGAGGAUUUUCUCAAUUACAUUGAGAACCGAGCCAACGCACUGGAGAAUGUCGAGCAGGGACAUCAACCCCAUCCUGGUAAUAGUAGCAGUAAGGUAGCAGCAGUCGCCACUACAGGAGCAACAUGCACUUACUGUCAGCAUGGUGGCAAAUGCAGGUUUCACUUCCGGUGCUCAGAGUGCAAGAAGCCUCAUAACACUCUGCUUCACUGCAAUUUAAGUGAAACCCCACCAGCUGUCACCUUAUCAAACGCUAUUGCCCAACGAGCAGUGCAUGACCAUCAGCCUGCCCAGCCACAGCAACCAGUCAUCAGCUGUGCCCCGGAGUGCUGCUCAUCCACCACAACAGCCUAGUAGCACACAGCUACACGUCUUCAACACAUACUUCGGGCACAUUGUAGGAGGGAAUCUGCCACCUAAGUGUUUCAGAAGGAGACUCGGCAGAUUUAAUCGGCUUUGCUGACGCUUCGAGUAAGACAGCCUACGGAUGCUGUGUGUACCUGCGAGUCACAGACCAAACAGGUACAACGAAAUUGCAUCUACUUUGUUCGAAGUCGCGAAUCAACCCUAUCCAAAAGAAAGGCAUGACUGUGCCAAGGCUUGAAUUGAAUGCUGCACUCUUGCUAUCAAAAUUGGUUUUGAGGACUCAUGAUACACUCAGAGUCAAAAUUAACAUCAGGCAUGUUUGUUUAUUCAGCGACUCGCAAAUCGUUCUUGCAUGGCUAAACACUGAGCUAACAAAACUUCAAGCUUACGUAUCGAACAGAGUAAGUGUAAUUCGUCAAAACACAUCUGGAUACAGUUGGCAUUAUGUCAAUACGCAUGACAAUCCUGCUGAUCUCAUUAGCCGAGGCGUCAACCCGAAUGAGCUGAGUAGCUGCGAUAUUUGGUGGAAUGGCCCUAAGUUCCUGCAAAACAGUGAGUACAAGUUUGCUGCUUAUAGCUCACCAGCUGAGUCACUCACAGAGGAGCGCUGCUUAGCUCCUUCCAGCAACUUGGUGUGCCAAAAUCCCAAUCCGCUUGACUAUGUGUUCAAGCGCUUGCAUAAUUACUCUAAUAUAAAUAAAAUAGUAAGGCUAUUAGCAUACAUAUUGCGAUUUUUAAACAAUAUUAACAAAAAUAAUUCUAAAAUAAAUACAAACUAUCUGCAAAGUUCUGAGUUAGAUAAUGCAUUAAUGUUACUUAUUAAAUAUGAACAAAGUAUAUAUUUUAAAUCUGAAAUCAAAGCAAUAAGCAAUAAUAAGAGCUUGAAGGGGAAUCUAGUUGAGUUGCAUCCCUUUCUUGACAAUAGGGGUCUAUUGCGCGUUGGUGGCAGGCUGCAUUAUGCUAAUAUAGCUUAUUCACAAAAACAUCCUGUCAUACUACCUAAGGGCUCUUCAAUUACUAGCUUGCUUAUAAGGUGUGAACAUGAAAGGCUACUGCACGCAGGGCCUAAGCUUUUACUCUCGCAUCUCAAUCAAAGGUUUUGGAUUGUUAAUGGCUUAUUAGAAGUUAAGAAAGUAACUCACAAAUGUAUUGUAUGUUUCAGACAAAAGGCCUUAGCAGCCAAGCAACUGAUGGGCUCCUUGCCGGCUGCACGUGUAACAGCCACCAGCAGGCCAUUUGAGAAAGUCGGCGUGGAUUUCGCUGGGCCAAUUGAUGUGAAACUCUCUCGCGUAAGACGAUCUUUAAUAGGUAAAGGGUAUAUCUGUGUAUUCGUAUGUUUCGCGACAAAAGCAGUUCACUUAGAACUUGCAUCAGAUUUGACCACGGAAACCUUUCUUGCGUGCUUAAGGAGAUUUAUCUCCAGACGAGGUUUG